CUUUGGGAUAACCCUCGGAAACGGGGGCUAAUACCGGAUAUGACUUUUCCUCGCAUGAGGUUUGGUGGAAAGUUUUUCGGCCUGGGAUGGGCUCGCGGCCUAUCAGCUUGUUGGUGGGGUGACGGCCUACCAAGGCGACGACGGGUAGCCGGCCUGAGAGGGCGACCGGCCACACUGGGACUGAGACACGGCCCAGACUCCUACGGGAGGCAGCAGUGGGGAAUAUUGCACAAUGGGCGGAAGCCUGAUGCAGCGACGCCGCGUGAGGGAUGACGGCCUUCGGGUUGUAAACCUCUUUCAGCAGGGACGAAGCGUAAGUGACGGUACCUGCAGAAGAAGCGCCGGCCAACUACGUGCCAGCAGCCGCGGUAAGACGUAGGGCGCGAGCGUUGUCCGGAUUUAUUGGGCGUAAAGAGCUCGUAGGCGGCUUGUCGCGUCGACCGUGAAAACUUGGGGCUCAACCCCAAGCCUGCGGUCGAUACGGGCAGGCUAGAGUUCGGUAGGGGAGACUGGAAUUCCUGGUGUAGCGGUGAAAUGCGCAGAUAUCAGGAGGAACACCGGUGGCGAAGGCGGGUCUCUGGGCCGAUACUGACGCUGAGGAGCGAAAGCGUGGGGAGCGAACAGGAUUAGAUACCCUGGUAGUCCACGCUGUAAACGUUGGGCGC
Molecule: ribosomal RNA, 665 nt
Filed under: uncultured Micromonosporaceae bacterium
Lineage: Bacteria; Bacillati; Actinomycetota; Actinomycetes; Micromonosporales; Micromonosporaceae
Description: bacterial SSU rRNA
Rfam family: Bacterial small subunit ribosomal RNA
Source: RNAcentral